RNAcentral lists this ribosomal RNA (502 nucleotides) under uncultured bacterium. Its description in RNAcentral is "partial 16S ribosomal RNA". It matches the Rfam family "Bacterial small subunit ribosomal RNA", at positions 30 to 523 of the family's 1533-position model. The record is from RNAcentral.
AUUGAACGCUGGCGGCAGGCUUAACACAUGCAAGUCGAGCGGGGUGAUGGUGCUUGCACUAUCACUUAGCGGCGGACGGGUGAGUACUGCUUAGGAAUCUGCCUAUUAGUGGGGGACAACAUCUCGAAAGGGAUGCUAAUACCGCAUACGUCCUACGGGAGAAAGCAGGGGAUCACUUGUGACCUUGCGCUAAUAGAUGAGCCUAAGUCGGAUUAGCUAGUUGGUGGGGUAAAGGCCUACCAAGGCGACGAUCUGUAGCGGGUCUGAGAGGAUGAUCCGCCACACUGGGACGGAGACACGGCCCAGACUCCUACGGGAGGCAGCAGUGGGGAAUAUUGGACAAUGGGGGGAACCCUGAUACAGCCAUGCCGCGUGUGUGAAGAAGGCCUUAUGGUUGUAAAGCACUUUAAGCGAGGAGGAGGCUCUUUUGGUUAAUACCCAAGAUGAGUGGACGUUACUCGCAGAAUAAGCACCGGCUAACUCUGUGCCAGCAGCCGAGUAA